Molecule: long non-coding RNA, 542 nt
Filed under: Homo sapiens (human)
Lineage: Eukaryota; Metazoa; Chordata; Mammalia; Primates; Hominidae
Description: HSALNT0180701
Source: RNAcentral
CUCAGGGCAUAACUGCAAUGAUGGACAGACAGACAAGAUGUCAAACCUUGCAUGAAAGAGUUGGUUUAUUGUAGUCAUUCAUCAUACAUCCACAUCAGCCAAGGGAGACUCCCCAUCUGCUCCUUGCCUAGCCUGUCAAUCUCUCAGGAUAUGACCUUAGCUGCAAGGAAGGAGACAGGAGAAAUUCUGCCAUCACCAGAACCCCAGUUGACCUGAAUGUCUAGAGAGAAAAGUCAGAGGCAAAGCACUCAGUGGAAAUGGCUGUCAGCAGCCUGGAAAAGGAAAUUUAGGUGCCGAGGUCUGACACAAACCAGAGAAUCAGCAGCUUUGCAAGUUCAGCAGGGGUGCUGGGGCUGUGGACAUGUGGCAUUCUGUGACAGAGAGUGUCACUAAAUUUCUCUGAGGAGCUUACAAGAGAUUAGAGACUUGUCAGAAAAUGGGGAAUGUUUUAAGCCAAAUAAAAGGGCUUAGAAAGUAGAUGGACAUGUAUAAUUAAAAGAAACAAAGAUGCUUUGAAAUCAAUUUAAUGAGCCACAUUUUGG